This 1150-nucleotide unclassified non-coding RNA is filed under the name Penaeus japonicus. RNAcentral describes it as "uncharacterized LOC122267788, transcript variant X2". The record is from RNAcentral. Lineage: Eukaryota; Metazoa; Arthropoda; Malacostraca; Decapoda; Penaeidae.
UUUACUAAGUCGAUAUAAUAUCGAUAUCCUCCCACCUUGCAUUCACGUGCAAGCACUGGCACAAGUAAGACCGCAGACGCUGGUGAACCUGUGCCACUGCCUAUCCAAGAUUCAAGCAAGCACUCUAUAAGUUUCACCGCUAUGGAUUACGCCCAAAUGAACAAGCUUAGUCGCCCAGUUUUUGGUCGGCCUCGAGCAAGCAAGCAUGGGCCUCAAGAAGUUUAGCAAGAGCUUGGAGGCUGAAGUGAUUCCUGCCGUUACCGUGAACGCGUGUACGUACAUGUGUCUUCAUGUGUGCACUUGUAUACAUGUGUGUAUGCAGACAUGUGUUUGAGGGGUGCAAUAACUACAGAAACAGAAGUUCUGGCCUGGAAGGAAGGUACGUCCAUGUAAUGACGGAAAUCGCUCAACAGAGAGACAGGAAGUUGACACAUUGUGAAUACGUCCGUGCGAUUUACAGGUUGGGAAUGGUUUUAACUGGAAAGGAUCAAGGCACAGACAUACGUGUGAAUCAGUCAGCCUGUUUAAAUACCAGGUGGACAUGCGCAUCUCUUUGCAUUGUUAUUCCUGAUCAUGAGGUGCUGAAUGCCUUUUGGGGCAGAUGUGCGUAAACAAACAGCAUUAUCGGAAUGGAUAAUUAUCAAUGCAGUGAGGAUUUCCAUGCAACACGUGCAUGAUCUGUCAGAGUGACAAAUGACACAAGUAUGUACUGGAGAAUAACAAGGAACGUCUCGGCCAAACACACAAUAAGAGAAGAGAUUGUCAUACAAGAAUACAUUAAACAUAGUAUACUAUGCGUUUGCAUGAAUACAAGAACGACUGUGCAUGAACGAGUAAGCAUAGGGUCUAUUCUUAUUGUACUGUAAUUAUAGCAUGUAGAAUCCUACAUAUGUUAUGAAAAAUAUGAUAUGAUAUAUAGGUCGAUAUGUGUGUGUGUGUGUGUGUAUGUUUGUGUGUGCGUAAACAUGUGUGUGUGUGUGUGUGUGUGAAGUUAUCUAUGAUGAAAUUCUGCUGAGGGCCAGUUUAUAGGCCUCUUUGCAUUUAUCUAUGUAAUCAGUUUCCUUUAAGAUUCACACAUAAAGGGGUAAUAAAUGAAACAUCAACACGGAAAUAUAUUUCUUAAAAUAUAAUUCAUAAAUAACAAGUCACA